GAACGCACAUUGCGCCCAUUAGUAUUCUAGUGGGCAUGCCUGUUCGAGCGUCAUUUCAACCCUUAAGCCUAGCUUAGUGUUGGGAGACUGCCUAAUACGCAGCUCCUCAAAACCAGUGGCAGAGUUUUUACGUACUCUGAGCGCAGUAAUUCUAUUCUCGCUUUUGAACACGUCUAGACGAUAGCCAAAAACCGCUUGCUUCGGCAGCACUUUUUUAAUGGUUGACCUCGGAUCAGGUAGGAAUACCCGCUGAACUUAAG
RNAcentral lists this unclassified non-coding RNA (260 nucleotides) under Microdochium phragmitis. RNAcentral describes it as "sequence contains 5.8S rRNA gene". The stretch from base 1 to 53 matches the Rfam family "5.8S ribosomal RNA", at positions 102 to 154 of the family's 154-position model. The record is from RNAcentral. Lineage: Eukaryota; Fungi; Ascomycota; Sordariomycetes; Xylariales; Microdochiaceae.